Molecule: long non-coding RNA, 562 nt
Organism: Papaver somniferum (opium poppy)
Lineage: Eukaryota; Viridiplantae; Streptophyta; Magnoliopsida; Ranunculales; Papaveraceae
Exons: 4
Source: RefSeq, a predicted model, not a curated record
GCUGCAUGGCUCGAGUAUUUUGAAUCAAAAGUCUUAGAACAGCAAGAACCCGCUCGCAGUAGUACUCCAAAACCAGAUGCUUCCAUCGCUAGAAAAGGCCACCUUAGGAUCAGGCUCCCAAGUUACAUCAGCAUUGUCCUUUGGACACGCUGAGGAAUUCUCGCUAGGUGUGAUGGGGUUGCGUUCAGGUCAAUAUCUUCCACUUCCUGUAUAUAACGGGAGAUAGAUUUUGUAAAUGAGCUGGUGAAUACUCUUGGUGUAAAUGGAACCGAAGGUUCCGACUAUAAGGGAGGGAGAAAAGGGACCACUCAGGCAAGUGUCGACAUGUAUGUUAUUCGUGGCGCAUUUAUUUACUGUUUUUCUAGGAACCUCUCUAUCUAUACGCUAUCGUCAUUCAUAUAUGAUUUGGAAAAAUUAAUUUGUGUUGCAUGGUAAAUAGAAAACAUCAAAAGAUUACAUGUUCCCAUAUAAAGGUUACAUAUGGAGUGAAAUGAAAUCAUGUAAAAUUACAUGAAAGUACUAACAUAAUGUACUUUUCAUGACUAAGAAAAUGGACAGCUUA